Molecule: long non-coding RNA, 1092 nt
Organism: Anopheles merus
Lineage: Eukaryota; Metazoa; Arthropoda; Insecta; Diptera; Culicidae
Exons: 3
Source: RefSeq, a predicted model, not a curated record
UUAAGGCCCCCCCUAUGACAAUCGAAGCAGCCCUGACAAGAAAAACGAGAUAGUGUGCGGUUGAUCGGUCAUGCAAUCUGUCAAAUUUUCAAAAAAUACAGUUUGUUUACAUUUUGAACCGAACGAUAGCUCUCACGAUGUACAACGGCGAAUGAUUAAAAAAAGGCUACUUCGGUGAUGAAAAUGUUGUGUGUAAUGUGUACAAUAAACAGCCUAAAAAUUAUAAAUGGUGGUAGAAUCGACUUCGCACGCCUGAAAGCCGUUUAGGCUGUUGUGCAACCGUGUUGAGCCGGCGAUAGUUAGAAAGAGGGAAGAAAGAAUGCCCGCAAUCAAACUAAACGAUGUUUGAUCAUGGAAAACAAGUUAAAAAGCAUACAAAGCUCGCUCGCUGUUGGACGCUUGGACAAUUACUUUUACAAUCAUUCGGUGAUCAGUUUGCGAAACGUCUUGCCGCACGCCUGGUACAGGCCCUUCUUGUCCGCGUCGGUAUCGAUCGUGGACUGAUCGUUCGGCAGCGUCAGCAUCAUCACCUUCAUCUGCGGGUAGUUGUGGUACGGCACAGUUCCGGUCGCCAUCUCGAUCGCGGUAAUGCCGAACGACUAGAAGCCGUAUCCGUGGUCCCGCUCCAUCUCCUCCGGCGCCAUCCAGCACGACGUGCCGAUAAACGUGUGGUACACCUUCUGCCGCGACAUGUCUCCAUCGGUGGCGAGCCACGCGCUCAUCCGCUAUAUUUAAGGAGCCGUCGUCGCCGGGCAGUAUGAUGGCCACCUUGAUGUCCACGUAAUGAGCAAUGCGAAAUGUGCACUCAAUUGGCAAGCGCACAGCAAGAUCCAGCAAACGUUACCGACAGUCUUUGUCGCCGUGAAAAUGCUUCUAAUGCACGGGUGAGUUGCAUUAUAACUACAAGCAUACGUUUUUUUCCUUUCUUUAGUUUCAGCUAAUGCCAGACGAACGAUCGAAUGACUGUUGCUUCGGAAGGGAGGUCGUAUUACAGAUAGCGGUGUAGUGUUGUGAUAUAGUGAUUGUGUGUACAUUUAAGGUGUAAAGGGUGAUUAAUGCUAGUAACGUUGUGUAAUGUUAUGCAGAACAAAA